GAAACGACUGCUAAGACUGGAUAGGAGACAAGAAGGCAUCUUCUUGUUUCUAAAAGACCUAGCAAUAGGUAUGCUUAGGGAGGAGCUUGCGUCACAUUAGUUAGUUGGUGGGGUAAAGGCCUACCAAGACUAUGAUGUGUAGCCGGGCUGAGAGGUUGAACGGCCACAUUGGGACUGAGACACGGCCCAAACUCCUACGGGAGGCAGCAGUAGGGAAUUUUCGGCAAUGGAGGAAACUCUGACCGAGCAACGCCGCGUGAACGAUGAAGUAUUUCGGUACGUAAAGUUCUUUUAUUAGGGAAGAAUAAAUAAUGGAAAAAUCAUUCUGACGGUACCUAAUGAAUAAGCCCCGGCUAACUAUGUGCCAGCAGCCGCGGUAAUACACAGGGGGCAAGCGUUAUCCGGAAUUAUUGGGCGUAAAGGGUGCGUAGGCGGUUAAAUAAGUUUAUGGUCUAAGUGCAAUGCUCAACAUUGUGAUGCUAUAAAAACUGUUUAGCUAGAGUAAGAUAGAGGCAAGUGGAAUUCCAUGUGUAGUGGUAAAAUGCGUAAAUAUAUGGAGGAACACCAGUAGCGAAGGCGGCUUGCUGGGUCUUUACUGACGCUGAGGCACGAAAGCGUGGGGAGCAAACAGGAUUAGAUACCCUGGUAGUCCACGCCGUAAACGAUGAGUACUAAACGUUGGGUAAAACCAGUGUUGAAGUUAACACAUUAAGUACUCCGCCUGAGUAGUACGUACGCAAGUAUGAAACUUAAAGGAAUUGACGGGACUCCGCACAAGCGGUGGAUCAUGUUGUUUAAUUCGAAGGUACCCGAAAAACCUCACCAGGUCUUGACAUGCUUCUGCAAAGCUGUAGAAACACAGUGGAGGUUAUCAGUUGCACAGGUGGUGCAUGGUUGUCGUCAGCUCGUGUCGUGAGAUGUUGGGUUAAGUCCCGCAACGAGCGCAACCCUUAUUGUUAGUUACCAGCACGUAAUGGUGGGGACUUUAGCAAGACUGCCAGUGAUGAAUUGGAGGAAGGUGGGGACGACGUCAAAUCAUCAUGCCCCUUAUGACCUGGGCUACAAACGUGAUACAAUGGCUGUUACAAAGGGUAGCUGAAGCGCAAGUUUUUGGCGAAUCUCAAAAAAACAGUCUCAGUUCGGAUUGAAGUCUGCAACUCGACUUCAUGAAGUUGGAAUCGCUAGUAAUCGCGAAUCAGCAUGUCGCGGUGAAUACGUUCACGGGGUUUGUACACACCGCCCGUCA
RNAcentral lists this ribosomal RNA (1246 nucleotides) under 'Populus sp.' phytoplasma. RNAcentral's name for it is "bacterial SSU rRNA". It matches the Rfam family "Bacterial small subunit ribosomal RNA", at positions 153 to 1399 of the family's 1533-position model. The record is from RNAcentral. Lineage: Bacteria; Bacillati; Mycoplasmatota; Mollicutes; Acholeplasmatales; Acholeplasmataceae.